AACGCGAAGAACCUUACCUAGCCUUGACAUGCACUGGACAUCCCCUGAAAGGGGGCCUUCCCGCAAGGGACCGGUGCACAGGUGCUGCAUGGCUGUCGUCAGCUCGUGUCGUGAGAUGUUGCGUUAAGUCGCGCAACGAGCGCAACCCCUGUCCUUAGUUGCCACCGGGUAAUGCCGAGCACUCUAUGGGGACUGCACGGGUCAACCGUGAGGAAGGCGGGGAUGACGUCAAGUCAUCAUGGCCCUUAUGUCCAGGGCAACAAGCGUGCUACAAUGGAUUACACAAAGGGUUGCAAACUCGCGAGAGCCAGCUAAUCCCAAAAAGUAAUCCUCAGUUCGGAUCGGAGUCUGCAACUCGACUCCGUGAAGUUGGAAUCGCUAGUAAUCGCGGAUCAGAACGCCGCGGUGAAUACGUUCCCGGGCCUUGUACACACCGCGCAUA
This 442-nucleotide ribosomal RNA is filed under the name uncultured bacterium. RNAcentral's name for it is "bacterial SSU rRNA". It matches the Rfam family "Bacterial small subunit ribosomal RNA", at positions 958 to 1398 of the family's 1533-position model. The record is from RNAcentral.